CAGCCGCCGCGGUAAUAUGUAGGGUGCAAGCGUUAAUCGGAAUUACUGGGCGUAAAGCGUGCGCAGGCGGUUUGUUAAGACAGAUGUGAAAUCCCCGGGCUCAACCUGGGAACUGCAUUUGUGACUGGCAAGCUAGAGUGUGGCAGAGGGGGGUGGAAUUCCGCGUGUAGCAGUGAAAUGCGUAGAUAUGCGGAGGAACACCGAUGGCGAAGGCAGCCACCUGGUCCACUUCUGACGCUGAGGCGCGAAAGCGUGGGGAGCAAACCGGAUUAGAUACCCCUGUAGUCCCUGUCUCUUAUAC
RNAcentral lists this ribosomal RNA (301 nucleotides) under uncultured bacterium. RNAcentral's name for it is "partial 16S ribosomal RNA". It matches the Rfam family "Bacterial small subunit ribosomal RNA", at positions 509 to 807 of the family's 1533-position model. The record is from RNAcentral.